Molecule: ribosomal RNA, 1522 nt
Filed under: Parabacteroides distasonis
Lineage: Bacteria; Pseudomonadati; Bacteroidota; Bacteroidia; Bacteroidales; Tannerellaceae
Description: 16S ribosomal RNA
Rfam family: Bacterial small subunit ribosomal RNA
Source: RNAcentral
ACGAAGAGUUUGAUCCUGGCUCAGGAUGAACGCUAGCGACAGGCUUAACACAUGCAAGUCGAGGGGCAGCGGGGGUAGCAAUACCCGCCGGCGACCGGCGCACGGGUGAGUAACGCGUAUGCAACUUACCUAUCAGAGGGGGAUAACCCGGCGAAAGUCGGACUAAUACCGCAUGAAGCAGGGGCCCCGCAUGGGGAUAUUUGCUAAAGAUUCAUCGCUGAUAGAUAGGCAUGCGUUCCAUUAGGCAGUUGGCGGGGUAACGGCCCACCAAACCGACGAUGGAUAGGGGUUCUGAGAGGAAGGUCCCCCACAUUGGUACUGAGACACGGACCAAACUCCUACGGGAGGCAGCAGUGAGGAAUAUUGGUCAAUGGGCGUAAGCCUGAACCAGCCAAGUCGCGUGAGGGAUGAAGGUUCUAUGGAUCGUAAACCUCUUUUAUAAGGGAAUAAAGUGCGGGACGUGUCCCGUUUUGUAUGUACCUUAUGAAUAAGGAUCGGCUAACUCCGUGCCAGCAGCCGCGGUAAUACGGAGGAUCCGAGCGUUAUCCGGAUUUAUUGGGUUUAAAGGGUGCGUAGGCGGCCUUUUAAGUCAGCGGUGAAAGUCUGUGGCUCAACCAUAGAAUUGCCGUUGAAACUGGGGGGCUUGAGUAUGUUUGAGGCAGGCGGAAUGCGUGGUGUAGCGGUGAAAUGCAUAGAUAUCACGCAGAACCCCGAUUGCGAAGGCAGCCUGCCAAGCCAUUACUGACGCUGAUGCACGAAAGCGUGGGGAUCAAACAGGAUUAGAUACCCUGGUAGUCCACGCAGUAAACGAUGAUCACUAGCUGUUUGCGAUACACUGUAAGCGGCACAGCGAAAGCGUUAAGUGAUCCACCUGGGGAGUACGCCGGCAACGGUGAAACUCAAAGGAAUUGACGGGGGCCCGCACAAGCGGAGGAACAUGUGGUUUAAUUCGAUGAUACGCGAGGAACCUUACCCGGGUUUGAACGCAUUCGGACCGAGGUGGAAACACCUUUUCUAGCAAUAGCCGUUUGCGAGGUGCUGCAUGGUUGUCGUCAGCUCGUGCCGUGAGGUGUCGGCUUAAGUGCCAUAACGAGCGCAACCCUUGCCACUAGUUACUAACAGGUAAAGCUGAGGACUCUGGUGGGACUGCCAGCGUAAGCUGCGAGGAAGGCGGGGAUGACGUCAAAUCAGCACGGCCCUUACAUCCGGGGCGACACACGUGUUACAAUGGCGUGGACAAAGGGAGGCCACCUGGCGACAGGGAGCGAAUCCCCAAACCACGUCUCAGUUCGGAUCGGAGUCUGCAACCCGACUCCGUGAAGCUGGAUUCGCUAGUAAUCGCGCAUCAGCCAUGGCGCGGUGAAUACGUUCCCGGGCCUUGUACACACCGCCCGUCAAGCCAUGGGAGCCGGGGGUACCUGAAGUCCGUAACCGAAAGGAUCGGCCUAGGGUAAAACUGGUGACUGGGGCUAAGUCGUAACAAGGUAGCCGUACCGGAAGGUGCGGCUGGAACACCUCCUUU